UCCUCAAGUCACGGCCAUGACUCAACUC
Molecule: non-coding RNA, 28 nt
Filed under: Mus musculus (house mouse)
Lineage: Eukaryota; Metazoa; Chordata; Mammalia; Rodentia; Muridae
Source: RNAcentral